RNAcentral lists this ribosomal RNA (467 nucleotides) under uncultured bacterium. Its description in RNAcentral is "partial 16S ribosomal RNA". It matches the Rfam family "Bacterial small subunit ribosomal RNA", at positions 28 to 507 of the family's 1533-position model. The record is from RNAcentral.
GAUGAACGCUGGCGGCGUGCUUAACACAUGCAAGUCGAACGGAAAGGCCUCUGCUUGCAGGGGUACUCGAGUGGCGAACGGGUGAGUAACACGUGGGUGAUCUGCCCUGCACUUCGGGAUAAGCCUGGGAAACUGGGUCUAAUACCGGAUAGGACAAUGGUUUGGAUGCUGUUGUGGAAAGUUUUUCGGUGUGGGAUGAGCUCGCGGCCUAUCAGCUUGUUGGUGGGGUAAUGGCCUACCAAGGCGUCGACGGGUAGCCGGCCUGAGAGGGUGUACGGCCACAUUGGGACGGAGAUACGGCCCAGACUCCUACGGGAGGCAGCAGUGGGGAAUAUUGCACAAUGGGCGCAAGCCUGAUGCAGCGACGCCGCGUGGGGGAUGACGGCCUUCGGGUUGUAAACUCCUUUCGCUAGGGACGAGGCGUUUUUGUGACGGUACCUGGAGAAGAAGCACCGGCUAACUACGUG